RNAcentral lists this ribosomal RNA (484 nucleotides) under uncultured bacterium. RNAcentral describes it as "partial 16S ribosomal RNA". It matches the Rfam family "Bacterial small subunit ribosomal RNA", at positions 29 to 523 of the family's 1533-position model. The record is from RNAcentral.
AACGAACGCUGGCGGCGUGCUUAACACAUGCAAGUCGAACGAUGAAGCCGGAGCUUGCUCUGGUGAAUUAGUGGCGAACGGGUGAGUAACACGUGAGUAACCUGCCCUUGACUCUGGGAUAACUGCGGGAAACUGUAGCUAAUACCGGAUACGACCCUCGGAGGCAUCUCCUGGGGGUGGAAAGAAUUUCGGUCAAGGAUGGACUCGCGGCCUAUCAGCUGGUUGGUGAGGUAAAGGCUCACCAAGGCGACGACGGGUAGCCGGCCUGAGAGGGUGACCGGCCACACUGGGACAGAGACACGGCGCAGACGCCCAGGGGAGGCAGCAGUGGGGAAUAUUGCACAAUGGGGGCAAGCCGGAUGCAGCAACGCCGCGUGAGGGAUGACGGCCUUCGGGUUGUAAACCUCUUUUAGUAGGGAAGAAGCGAAAGUGACGGUACCUGCAGAAAAAGCACCGGCUAACUACGUGCCAGCCGCCGCCGUAA